Long non-coding RNA from Diabrotica virgifera virgifera (western corn rootworm), 397 nucleotides. RefSeq lists it as uncharacterized. The record is from RefSeq and is a predicted model, not a curated record. NCBI's taxonomy places the organism in Eukaryota, Metazoa, Arthropoda, Insecta, Coleoptera, Chrysomelidae. The transcript has 2 exons.
UUUGUGUUUAUUUUUAUAAUUUCAGCUCCUAACCUAACAUAAUUAGAUUCAAAUAUGACUUUAUCGUUUUUAUUUCCAUUUUGGAAGAGGGAAUGAAGAAAAUUUACAGAUAUGACAAACAUCUAGCUAGAAGAUGGAAUCCUGCGUUCUUAAAAUAAAAAAAAGCUAGUUCCAGAAGUAAGCUACCAAUAAUAAACUAGAGAAUGUAUUACAAGAAAGAACAACGCUAAUACUCAACAUAGCUCAAUUGCUUCAGAUAGAAAAAGAGGAGGAAAGGGUACAACACAAGCGUGCCAGAGAAAAUGAAAGGGCAGAAGAGAGACACAAAAUUCAUUGAUUUAUUAAAUUUACAAAUUAAAUUAUACAAAGGACAAUUAAAUAAAAAAUUAAAAAAUGA